CAUGGCGUGCGCGGGGGCAGCAGUACGCCGCAGGAAGCAGUUGCUGUUCUCGAGCUGUUUGAAAUUCAUUUCUGCGGGAACAGGACGAUUUUACUGGCAGUUUAAAAUCGAACCAGGUGGAUUUCUUCACCCCGGUGGAUCGAGUGUAGGUUUGGUACCUUGAAUUCGUGGGUUCGUGUAGCACGUGAAAAAUAACGUUUAUUUAAGUUCGUUCACGCAUAUAUUUGAAUUGGUGUGCAUGUUUUCUAAUAAAAAGUAGUACAAUUCAGUCACCGAUAAAUUGAGCUUUGUUUCGGGGCAUAUAUAUAGUUGCCUUAUAGUGAAUUAUUUUUUUAAGAAUACGAAUGAGUUCCGACCUUUGAUCACACACAAGCCAUAGUGAAUUAUAAUUCUUCUACUAUGAAGUAGCCUUCUCCGUGAUACUACUCCUAUCCAUACGACCAUACCAACCAUCGCGUCCAUGUGCUCAUUUUUCCGAAAAAUCAACCGCCGGUGUUUAAAAACUUUUCCAUUUUUAAGUAGCAAGCGAGCAUUAAUGACCGCAUCUCCCCUCAAGAUUGGCAUAACGCACAAUCAAUGGCUAUCAUCAUGAUGCACCGUCUGUUUGGAUGGAUCGUGUGCACCGAUCCUGUUGCACAUUGUUCCCAUACCAUAUAUGUGGCUCAAGGAGUCAAGGGCCAUCUAUCCUAGCACAGCUCAUAUAUGCCGAUCAUGAACAUGUGGUACAUUCCAACAGUCCUCCAAAACUCUUUUUUUUUUUCUCUGCGAAAGAACAGCCCUCCAUAACAUGGGUUAUACCUAUUACUUUCACAAGAUUCUUGGUCCACCAAAUUGAGUUUGAAGGGAGUCAGGGCUUGUUUAGGUAAAAAUGUUAUAUGUAGAUUGGAGUGGAAUGAACUAAGGCCUCUACCAGCUAGUUCGAUGUGUCUGUUUUUGGCUUAUUUUGGAUUAAGCCAGCUUAUUCUCUCCCACAUAAUACUACUGAAUCAGCCGAAAUCGGACUACUGAAAAUUAUCUCGGCAUAAAUAAAAUUAGUACAUUCAGCAGUUUUUUUUGCCUUGUUGAAAAUGCUUGCCCAUCCUGCUUUUAAAAUCGGUAACCGUUCUCAGCAGUGGCAGUACGGAAAGCUUCUAAACGUCUCGGCGCAUGUCAAGGGUGGGUCCCAGGCUCCUAGCAAAGUCAGUCACCCUUUAAUUUUUCACACGUGGAAUCUGCCCCCUACUGGUUACACGACCAGCGGGCCUCUGUUUUACAUGACCAGCGGCCCAUAAAUUCGGCGUACCCGGCUGCCCACCGUCAGAUCUUGGUCGUUCGACUUCUUGGCAUUGACUGUUGAGCUAGAGCCCUAUUCGAUCGGUUUGUUUCAGUGACCUCCAAUUUACAAAUGGGAGCCCCCUACAUUGGAAACCACUAGGUGAACAGUAGCGUAAUUCAUGACACUAGCAGUCCAUACUUUGUACGUACUAGUUUGUACACAAAUCAGUGCGCUGCAAAAACUUCAGAUAAACUUGUAGGCGUCACACCGCACACGUGCCCGGCUCUUCAUUAGACUGACGGGCGCUGUCCCUUCCCAUGCCGGUUAGGUGUCGACUUGCGAUCCUCUUGCGUUACUUGGUUCUAUCUUGCGUGCCUCCCAGUCCCAGCGUUCACGCCCAAGCCAUGGCCCAAUCUAUAUAAAGCAAUGAUUCUUCAGCUCCCAACUCCUUCAAUUCGCAGACCUUUCAUGGUUUUUUUUUUGCGAUCAGAACUUUCAUGAUUUGACACCCUAACCCACAUGUUAAUGAUGUAGAUUGAUCCUACGUGUUAUUGCGGUACGGGUGUCAAAUUAUGAACGGCUCACGGAUUUGGACACAAAUUCCGAACCCUUUGAUCUCGCUACUAGCUGCAUCGUCAGUUAUGGGCCGCCGCCCUAGGUGGUUGCCGAUCGCCAAUCCGGGAUUCCUUCCCUUCCCAAAUGGCCGGGGACAGCCUCGCUUUACUUGCUGCCGGCAGGGGUCACUCUGUUCUCCAUUCCGGACGCGGAUCGCGUGGCGUCCAGAUCUGUGCCGCCGGCUGCGUCCCUUGCUCGGGUCGGGUACGCCCCCGCUCAAGUCAGCUGAGCAAUUUUUUUUUUUUGAGCAUCAGUCAGCUGAGCAAUUGAGCAUAACUGGUGGCAGCGACCGAGGUCUCGUGCCUCCACGGGGUUGGUUGCUCCAAAUCGUAAAAGCUCUUCUGGUUCUGCCAUGCUGGGUACUAGUAGUACAACAAAGGCAACCAACUGGUACGGCUAUGGUUUUCACAACUUUGGAGUUGGAACUUGGAAGUUUUUACAGCUGUUUGGAUAGAAAAAAAAAGAUCAGCAUGUACGCUUUCCAGUAAAAUUUAUUGUACCAUGACUUUUUGUCGACGUCGAAAUAAAGUUUUUUUUUCCUGUUGGAGGAAAACAAGCGGUUGAUGUACAAUUUCUACUCUGGCUUCAACGGGCCUCGCCUGGCCCAUAGUUAACUUCAAUCCGGCCCACAUAACUUGAGCCCGCUAUUUCGGCUAGUCA
Panicum virgatum (switchgrass) is the source of this 2530-nucleotide long non-coding RNA. RefSeq lists it as uncharacterized. The transcript has 2 exons. Lineage: Eukaryota; Viridiplantae; Streptophyta; Magnoliopsida; Poales; Poaceae. The record is from RefSeq and is a predicted model, not a curated record.